RNAcentral lists this ribosomal RNA (690 nucleotides) under uncultured bacterium. Its description in RNAcentral is "bacterial SSU rRNA". It matches the Rfam family "Bacterial small subunit ribosomal RNA", at positions 56 to 743 of the family's 1533-position model. The record is from RNAcentral.
UGCAGUCGACGGCAGCACGGGGGCAACCCUGGUGGCGAGUGGCGAACGGGUGAGUAAUGCAUCGGAACGUACCGUGUAAUGGGGGAUAACGAGUCGAAAGACUUGCUAAUACCGCAUACGCCCUGAGGGGGAAAGUGGGGGAUCGCAAGACCUCACGUUAUACGAGCGGCCGAUGUCGGAUUAGCUAGUUGGUAGGGUAAAGGCCUACCAAGGCGACGAUCCGUAGCUGGUCUGAGAGGACGACCAGCCACACUGGGACUGAGACACGGCCCAGACUCCUACGGGAGGCAGCAGUGGGGAAUUUUGGACAAUGGGGGCAACCCUGAUCCAGCCAUGCCGCGUGAGUGAAGAAGGCCUUCGGGUUGUAAAGCUCUUUCGGCCGGGACGAAAUCGCACCAUCUAAUAAGUGGUGUGGAUGACGGUACCGGAAUAAGAAGCACCGGCUAACUACGUGCCAGCAGCCGCGGUAAUACGUAGGGUGCGAGCGUUAAUCGGAAUUACUGGGCGUAAAGCGUGCGCAGGCGGUUUUGUAAGCCAGAUGUGAAAUCCCCGGGCUUAACCUGGGAACUGCAUUUGGGACUGCAAGGCUAGAGUGUGUCAGAGGGGAGUAGAAUUCCACGUGUAGCAGUGAAAUGCGUAGAGAUGUGGAGGAAUACCGAUGGCGAAGGCAGCCCCCUGGGAUAACACUGA